This 1270-nucleotide long non-coding RNA is filed under the name Salmo salar (Atlantic salmon). RNAcentral describes it as "lncRNA (ENSSSAG00000115546.1)". Lineage: Eukaryota; Metazoa; Chordata; Actinopteri; Salmoniformes; Salmonidae. The record is from RNAcentral.
UCAAAGGCGGUCACAACAGGCAGACCAAAAAUCCAAGUAGUACCAGUAAAGUUCGUCGAAACAUGUCAAACAAUGUUUAUAAUCAAUCCUCAGGUUGUCUUUUGUCGAGAGUUGAGAGAACCUCCAUUCUGAAAGACUUGAAUCAGCAUUUUAUAGACGCAGGCAGUUUAUUUGAAAAGGUCAAAAGGUCUAAAUGAGCCCCCUAUGAAUUUACCUGACACCCCUGUGCACUCCUUCACCAGGUUAUCCUUCUCAUCCUUCUCUGUUUCAGAAGUGUGUAAAGCCCUGAAAGAAAUUGAUAGAAAAAAAUCCCCUGGCCCUGAUGAACUAGACCCCUGCUUCCUACACCUAGCUGCUGACAUCAUUGCUCCCCCCUAUAUGUUUAACCUCACUCUUGACGUUAAGGAAAUCCCCAAGUUAAAACCUGUUUUGGAAAGGCGUUCCGCUAGCGGCACACCUGGCCAACAUCCGGUGAAAUUGCAGAGCGCCAAAUUCAAAAACAGAAAUACUCAUAAUAAAAAUUCAUAAAACAUACAAGUGUUAUACAUCAGCUUGCAGAUUAAUUUCUUGUUAAUCCAGCCGUUGUGUCAGAUUUCAAAAAGGUUUUACGGCGAAAGCAUACCAUGCGAUUAUCUUAGGACCGUGCCCAGCACACAAAACCAUACAAACAUUUUCCAGCCAAGUAGAGGAGUCACAAAAGUCAGAAAAAGCGAUAAAAUGAAUCACUUACCUUUGAUGAUCUUCAUAUGGUUGCAGUCACAAGACUCCCAGUUACACAAUAAAUGUUUGUUUUGUUAGAUAAAGUCCCUCUUUAUAUGUUUUAUAUGUUUAUAUCUUUAUAUGUUUUCUUGCCACGUUUUCUUCAGUAAUCCAUUGGCUCAAAGGCGGUCACAACAGGCAGACGAAAAAUCCAAGUAGUACCUCUUUAUAUAAAAAAAAACUCAGUUUUGUUGGCGCGUUUUGUAAAGUUCGUUGAAACAUGUCAAACGAUGUUUAAAAUCAAUCCUCAGGUUGUCUUUUGUCCAAAUAAUCUAUAAUAUUUCAACCGGACAAUAGCGUCCACUGUCCACUAAUUCAAUGUGGUCAUUCUUCCUCAUUCUUCAGGAUACAAGCCUGAAACAAUUUUUAAAGACUGUUGACAUCUAUUGGAAGCCAUAGGAAGUGCAAUCUGAGUCCUAAGCCAUUGGACACUGUGUAGACAUUCAUUUGAAAACUACAAACAUAAAGAAAUCCCACUUCCUGGAUGGAUUUUUCUCAGGUUUUCACCUGC